UUGGAUUUUUGUCCGGGAGGGGGUUGGGUGGGGUGGGAAUAUUUUACUACUAUUGGUCUAUGAUAUAUCAUGACAUAUAUGGGAAUGUCCCAAAUCCAAUUUAGUAAAUUGAUGGAUUGGCAUAUUUGAGUAUUCUGGACGUAAAAAUUCAGGUGCUUAGACCUUCUAUAUUGCAAGGAGGGAGUGCUUAGUUGAUGAAUGUCUGCACUUGGAAGCUUGCAGCAUGCCAAAUAUAAUAUGGCCAGUUAUUGUUGAUAGAUUGUAGUCACAGUUGUUAAAAGCAAAAAACUCUUAAGUGCCAAGGGCUUGAAAAACUUAGGGACAAGUUGCACAUGUUCUUAGGGGUUUCGCCCCCUAGACAAGGUAACCAGAGACAAAAUGUCUAUUAACUCAUAAUAAGAUAGGUGUGUGGUCAAGUGAAAUGCACAUCUUUGAAGUAAACUGCAUAAUAAUUUAUAUGAGAAAGUGUUAUGGCAUACAAUAUUAAGAAAACUUAAAAUGAAAUCUUAAUCGUAAUUGAACCUUAAAUGGGCUUUGUUGGACUUAAGAAGCAUAGAAAUUAAAUGGCAAAACUAAAAUCACGCUACUUCAAAGUUUUGUGAUUCACAUCUCUAGGCAGGCCAAGAUGAUAAGGAACUUUGUUAUUAUGUUGAGUUUACAAAUGCUCUUCUUUUUUUUUUUUUUUGGCCUUGAUUCUAUUUUAAACAUUCUUAACAGGGUCCAAGUGUGCACCCCUCAUUGUUGCAUU
This 748-nucleotide unclassified non-coding RNA is filed under the name Hevea brasiliensis (rubber tree). The record is from RNAcentral. Lineage: Eukaryota; Viridiplantae; Streptophyta; Magnoliopsida; Malpighiales; Euphorbiaceae.